Prionailurus viverrinus (fishing cat) is the source of this 925-nucleotide long non-coding RNA. RefSeq lists it as uncharacterized. The record is from RefSeq and is a predicted model, not a curated record. Lineage: Eukaryota; Metazoa; Chordata; Mammalia; Carnivora; Felidae. The transcript has 8 exons.
CAAGAGGAGUCAGUCUUGAGAUAAAGAUUCUUGGUAAAAUCAUUUAGUCAUCAAAUCAGGCAUACCUGAAGCCGGCCCUCCUCUAGACUUUGUAGACUGCAGCCUUUGGAAGGAAGUAUACAGCACACAUGUCAAGAGUGGAUAAUUUUCCUCCCCUUCUUGAGAGUGAAGCAUCUGGUGAGGACCUUUCUAUGAAUCAAACGCAAGUACAAGAGACAUUGAAGAAGAAACACUUUCCCCAUUUAACGUCCACUCAAAAAUCUCUAGUUUCUCCUGAAGAUGACUUUUAAGUCUUGCCACAUUUCCCAGAAACUGCUACCUUCUGACUUCUAUUAAAGAAUUUAGAAAAAGAAAACAAACUGAAUACAAGCUACUUAAUGGAUACUGGCAAGCCGUCAAACAGACAAACAAAGAAGUGAGGAUAAAUGAUGCUUUCCAAAUUUAAGAUUUACAUAGGAAAUCCUGUGAUAAGCCACCAUGCUUCAUACCAGGCAGCCCAGGUUAGAAGGCUCUGGAGUCCCGUAAUGUUCAACUAGGUUAAUACUCAACUAGGUCAAGACUCAACUAAGACAAUAUCAAGGAAUCAGACAAUGAAAACUCUACCUUGUCCCAUCAAAGCUUCUGUAUCUCAGGAUGGAGGCAAGAAGGCUGACAUUGAAAGUAUUUCCACAGGAUAAGAUUGAGGUCACAAGCAUUUACUGAAAGACUUAAGCAAAAAUGAGCAGCAAGAUUAAGAAAGAAAUAAGAAAGGCCAACGUUUCAACUGAGGCUGUGGAAGCUGAGGACAUUUUUACUGGAUUGGCCUUUGUGCUUGAGAACUGACUGCUACUUCAACUAUACUCUAGUGAUAAUUCUUCCUCUGUAUUAUUCAUUGUACUGAACACCUAAGAGCUGCCUUUCUCCAGAGCUAGAACUGCAAUUACAA